This 251-nucleotide ribosomal RNA is filed under the name uncultured prokaryote. RNAcentral describes it as "partial 16S ribosomal RNA". It matches the Rfam family "Bacterial small subunit ribosomal RNA", at positions 525 to 775 of the family's 1533-position model. The record is from RNAcentral.
ACGGAGGAUGCGAGCGUUAUCCGGAAUCACUGGGUUUAAAGGGUGCGUAGGCGGGUUAAUAAGUCAGAGGUGAAAGCUGGUCGCUUAACGAUCAAAUUGCCUUUGAUACUGUUAGUCUUGAAAUAUGGUGAGGUUGGCGGAAUGUGACAUGUAGCGGUGAAAUGCAUAGAUAUGUCAUAGAACACCAAUUGCGAAGGCAGCUGACUGGCCAUUAUUUGACGCUGAGGCACGAAAGCGUGGGGAGCGAACAG